This 425-nucleotide ribosomal RNA is filed under the name uncultured bacterium. Its description in RNAcentral is "bacterial SSU rRNA". It matches the Rfam family "Bacterial small subunit ribosomal RNA", at positions 355 to 796 of the family's 1533-position model. The record is from RNAcentral.
UAGGGAAUUUUCCGCAAUGGGCGAAAGCCUGACGGAGCAACGCCGCGUGCAGGAGGAAGGCCUUCGGGUUGUAAACUGCUUUUAUCUGUGACGAUUUUGACGGUAGCAGAUGAAUAAGGAUCGGCUAACUCCGUGCCAGCAGCCGCGGUCAUACGGAGGAUCCAAGCGUUAUCCGGAAUUACUGGGCGUAAAGAGUUGCGUAGGUGGCAUAGCAAGCAAGCAGUGAAAUAUCACGGCUCAACCGUGGGUACAUUGUUUGAACUGCUAAGCUAGAGCACGAGAGAGGUACCUGGAAUUCCCAGUGUAGGAGUGAAAUCCGUAGAUAUUGGGAGGAACACCGAUGGCGUAGGCAGGGUACUGGCUUGUUGCUGACACUAAGGCACGAAAGCGUGGGGAGCGAACGGGAUUAGAUACCCCGGUAGUCC